This 722-nucleotide long non-coding RNA is filed under the name Vulpes vulpes (red fox). RNAcentral describes it as "lncRNA (ENSVVUG00000017296.1)". Lineage: Eukaryota; Metazoa; Chordata; Mammalia; Carnivora; Canidae. The record is from RNAcentral.
CUGUUCUAGGAUAAAAGGGGAUAAGUAGGUUUAAAUAGUGGUAGAGGAAAAAAAGAGACUUUUGACCUACAGAAAAGGAGUAAGGCAGGUGUUGCAAAGGAGGAAUGUAGAGAGAAAGCACAGUGAUUUUGGCAGCUGAUGGAAAAAGAGGGGAACUCAGGAAUUAAUGGGUGAUGUUUAGCAGGUGUGGUUGAUGCUGCUGGUGCCUCGCCCAGGCCCUCUAUACCUACCAGAGCACCAGAGCCCAGAUGUAACAGUGUUGGCUGAUAAUAACUGACCCAUCCCCCUUCUCCAAAUGGAAGCCACUGUCCCUAGAAGGUUAGCCUACCCUCCCUUCACUCCAGGAGGCAGCCCAGGGGUACAAAAAGCUUGGUUCUUUUGCCUCAAGAUGAGAAGAUAGGAUCAACUUUGUGGUGUAAUUCAUGUUCCAGAGCCUCUUGUGCAAUCAAUCUGAGACUCAAUUCUGAUGAAAUCCCCAUUCUUGCCUAGUCUUCUAUUCCCCCUCUUACUCAUCUUCCCCCGAAGUACUCUCCCACACAUCUCCUAACAAGAAUCCCAUCUCAGAUUCUGCUACGAGGACACCUGACCUAAGACAGGAAGAUUUACACUGUACCUGUGAUGCUACCCACUUUCUCCAUGCUCCCUGUCCCAGGAAAUCUCAGAUCACCGAGGUGGUAGAGAGGAACUUGGCAGAUGACUCACAUCAGCCUGCUAAACUGUGA